AUUGAACGCUGGCGGCAUGCCUUACACAUGCAAGUCGAACGGUAACAGGUCUUCGGAUGCUGACGAGUGGCGAACGGGUGAGUAAUACAUCGGAACGUGCCCGAUCGUGGGGGAUAACGAGGCGAAAGCUUUGCUAAUACCGCAUACGAUCUACGGAUGAAAGCGGGGGAUCUUCGGACCUCGCGCGGACGGAGCGGCCGAUGGCAGAUUAGGUAGUUGGUGGGAUAAAAGCUUACCAAGCCGACGAUCUGUAGCUGGUCUGAGAGGAUGAUCAGCCACACUGGGACUGAGACACGGCCCAGACUCCUACGGGAGGCAGCAGUGGGGAAUUUUGGACAAUGGGCGAAAGCCUGAUCCAGCCAUGCCGCGUGCAGGAUGAAGGCCUUCGGGUUGUAAACUGCUUUUGUACGGAACCAAAAGCCUCUUUCUAAUAAAGAGGGGUCAUGACGGUACCGUAAGAAUAAGCACCGGCUAACUACGUG
RNAcentral lists this ribosomal RNA (482 nucleotides) under uncultured bacterium. RNAcentral describes it as "partial 16S ribosomal RNA". It matches the Rfam family "Bacterial small subunit ribosomal RNA", at positions 30 to 507 of the family's 1533-position model. The record is from RNAcentral.